GAUGAAGAACGCAGCGAAAUGCGAUACGUAAUGUGAAUUGCAGAAUUCAGUGAAUCAUCGAAUCUUUGAACGCAUAUUGCGCUCUCUGGUAUUCCGGAGAGCAUGCUUGUUUGAGUAUCAGUAAACACCUCAACUUCCAUAUCUUUUUUGAAAUGGGAGUUGGACUUGAGUGAUCCCAACGCUUUUCCUCACCGAAAAGUGGCGGGUUACUUGAAAUGCAGGUGCAGCUGGACUUUUCUCUGAGCUAUAAGCAUAUCUAUUUAGUCUGCCUAAUAAACAGAUUAUUACCUUUGCUGCAGCUAACAUAAAGGAGAUUAGUUCUUGUGCUGACUGAUGCAGGAUUCACAAAGACAGCUUCGGCCGACUUUGUAAACUCGAUCUCAAAUCAAGUAAGACUACCCGCUGAACUUAAGCAUAUCAAUAAGCGGAGGA
This 432-nucleotide unclassified non-coding RNA is filed under the name soil metagenome. RNAcentral's name for it is "partial contains 5.8S ribosomal RNA, internal transcribed spacer 2, and large subunit ribosomal RNA". The stretch from base 1 to 120 matches the Rfam family "5.8S ribosomal RNA", at positions 35 to 154 of the family's 154-position model. The record is from RNAcentral.